AUGAACUCACUGGAGCAGGCGGAAGACCUCAAGGCUUUCGAGAAAAGGCUUUCUGAAUAUAUUCACUGCUUGCAGCCUGCCACAGGAUGUUGGAGAAUGCUGCUUAUAGUGGUAUCUGUCUGUACAGCUACUGGUGCCUGGAACUGGCUAAUAGAUCCUGAAACACAAAAGGUGUCCUUCUUUAUAGCAUUGUGGAAUCACCCAUUUUUUACUAUUAGCUGUAUCACUCUAAUAGGCUUGUUCUUUGCUGGAAUACACAAGAGAGUAGUUGCACCAUCAAUUAUAGCUGCUCGAUGUGGAACUGUUUUGGCAGAGUACAAUAUGUCUUGUGAUGAUACAGGAAAACUAAUUUAGAAACCUAUGCCUCACGUUCAAUG
Dipodomys ordii (Ord's kangaroo rat) is the source of this 377-nucleotide RNA transcript. It is a transcript of the gene named nuclear envelope phosphatase-regulatory subunit 1 pseudogene, with no coding region annotated. The transcript has a single exon. NCBI's taxonomy places the organism in Eukaryota, Metazoa, Chordata, Mammalia, Rodentia, Heteromyidae. The record is from RefSeq and is a predicted model, not a curated record.